Molecule: ribosomal RNA, 253 nt
Filed under: uncultured bacterium
Lineage: Bacteria
Description: partial 16S ribosomal RNA
Rfam family: Bacterial small subunit ribosomal RNA
Source: RNAcentral
UACGGAGGGGGCUAGCGUUGUUCGGAAUUACUGGGCGUAAAGCGCGCGUAGGCGGUCCUGCAAGUCGGGGGUGAAAGCCCGAGGCUCAACCUCGGAACUGCCUUCGAUACUGCGGGUCUCGAGUCCGGGAGAGGUGAGUGGAAUUCCUAGUGUAGAGGUGAAAUUCGUAGAUAUUAGGAAGAACACCAGUGGCGAAGGCGGCUCACUGGCCCGGUACUGACGCGGAGGCGCGAAAGCGUGGGGAGCAAACAGG